Molecule: ribosomal RNA, 656 nt
Filed under: Salmonella enterica
Lineage: Bacteria; Pseudomonadati; Pseudomonadota; Gammaproteobacteria; Enterobacterales; Enterobacteriaceae
Description: partial 23S ribosomal RNA
Rfam family: Bacterial large subunit ribosomal RNA
Source: RNAcentral
ACCUUUUGUAUAAUGGGUCAGCGACUUAUAUUCUGUAGCAAGGUUAACCGAAUAGGGGAGCCGGAGGGAAACCGAGUCUUAACCGGGCGUUAAGUUGCAGGGUAUAGACCCGAAACCCGGUGAUCUAGCCAUGGGCAGGUUGAAGGUUGGGUAACACUAACUGGAGGACCGAACCGACUAAUGUUGAAAAAUUAGCGGAUGACCUGUGGCUGGGGGUGAAAGGCCAAUCAAACCGGGAGAUAGCUGGUUCUCCCCGAAAGCUAUUUAGGUAGCGCCUCGUGAAUUCAUCUCCGGGGGUAGAGCACUGUUUCGGCUAGGGGGCCAUCCCGGCUUACCAACCCGAUGCAAACUGCGAAUACCGGAGAAUGUUAUCACGGGAGACACACGGCGGGUGCUAACGUCCGUCGUGAAGAGGGAAACAACCCAGACCGCCAGCUAAGGUCCCAAAGUCAUGGUUAAGUGGGAAACGAUGUGGGAAGGCCCAGACAGCCAGGAUGUUGGCUUAGAAGCAGCCAUCAUUUAAAGAAAGCGUAAUAGCUCACUGGUCGAGUCGGCCUGCGCGGAAGAUGUAACGGGGCUAAACCAUGCACCGAAGCUGCGGCAGCGACACUGUGUGUUGUUGGGUAGGGGAGCGUUCUGUAAGCCUGUGAAGGUGU